GGCGCAGCAGGACGGAGGAGGAGCGGCGGCGAAGCCGGCGCUGAGGAAGCCGGUGUUCACGAAGGUCGGCCAGCUGAAGCCGGGCACGAGCGGCCACAAUCUGAAGGCGAAGGUGCUCAACUCGAACGUCGUGCUGCAGAAGUCUCGUGCGGCGGCGGCGCACAUACAUCAGGCCAGGAUCGCCGAGUGCCUCAUCGGCGACGAGACCGGCACCAUCGUCUUCACUGCCCGCAACGACCAGGUUGAUGUGAUGAAACCGGGCAACACUGUGAUUGUCCGCAAUGCAAAGAUUGAUAUGUUCAAGGGGUCGAUGAGGCUGGUUGUUGAC
Molecule: unclassified non-coding RNA, 328 nt
Filed under: Hevea brasiliensis (rubber tree)
Lineage: Eukaryota; Viridiplantae; Streptophyta; Magnoliopsida; Malpighiales; Euphorbiaceae
Source: RNAcentral